Molecule: long non-coding RNA, 1022 nt
Organism: Mus musculus (house mouse)
Lineage: Eukaryota; Metazoa; Chordata; Mammalia; Rodentia; Muridae
Product: predicted gene, 32518
Exons: 3
Source: RefSeq, a predicted model, not a curated record
GUCAGGUUUCCAAUGACGAGCUUGCCUGACUCGUCCUGUCCCUUCUUCACAGCGGGGAAGAGGCUAAAUCUUUUAGGGAGACCUUUCCGAUCAGCAAGAACUGUGGAAACAGACAUCAGACUCAGCACCCCAAUCUUGGGGCAAGAACAAGUCCCACAGCCCAGGAGAUGCCUAGGGUUCCCUACAGCCUUCUCAAAUUUGAAGUCUUUCCUAAAGGUUGACUCCAGGUUAAAGGUUCAGCUCCUCCGUGAGGUGAAACCCGGAGGAUAAGGAAGAAAGGCGUGCAGACAAGCAGAAAAUUUCUCCACGACUUUCCCUUUUCUCGCUGUUUUCUCUUUCCCAACCCUACUUUUUACUUAAUCCCCCAUUCAAUUCACUGCUCCUGGCAGGGAGCCAGCAUUGUUCCUGCCGACUCUGGUCUUCCCUCCUCCUUCCCACCCCGCGGCGGUGGGGACCCAGAGCAGCCCCUGCGGGUCAGGGCACAGUCUUCACUGCUGGCCCCGCCCGGGCCUGGAAAGAUGAGAGUUUGGGUUUCUCAGGCCCCCACUUAUUCCGAAUGCCAUCAGCUCCGGAGUAACUUCUAGAAGGCCCCCUCCCUGCAGCUGCUCUGCACCCAGCGGUGCUCCCCUCUAAGAACUGCUUGAGCUAGGCUCUACCGGCCGCUCCCACUGUGGCUGGAGUCUAAAGCCCGCUCUGACGAUUGCCCGGGGCGGGACCAGGACAGAGAACCGAGGAGUAUCUCCAAGUCUCCUGCUGCCUGGAAGACAGUCUGCUCCUGGCUUUCCUUUGGAUGAAGAUGCAGAACUCUCAGCAACUCCUGCACUGCCAUCUUCCCUGCCUUGAUGAUAAUGGACUGAACCUCUGAAUCUGUAAGCCAGCCCCUAUUAAAUGUUGUCCUUAAUAAGAGUUGCCUUGGCCAUGGGGUCUCUUAACAGCAACGGAAACCCUGAUGGCCACCAUGCCUCUAGGAUUUUAUUGUGGUUUUUUGUUUUGUUUUGUUUUGUUUUUUUGUUUUGUUUUUU